CUACGGGUGGCAGCAGUGGGGAAUUUUGGACAAUGGGCGCAAGCCUGAUCCAGCCAUUCCGCGUGAGUGAAGAAGGCCUUCGGGUUGUAAAGCUCUUUCGCAAGGGAAGAAAACUUAUCCUCUAACAUAGGGUGAGGUUGACGGUACCUUGAUAAGAAGCACCGGCUAACUACGUGCCAGCAGCCGCGGUAAUACGUAGGGUGCGAGCGUUAAUCGGAAUUACUGGGCGUAAAGCGUGCGCAGGCUGUUUUGUAAGUCAGAUGUGAAAUCCCCGGGCUCAACUUGGGAACUGCGUUUGAAACUACAAGACUAGAAUAUGUCAGAGGGGGGUAGAAUUCCAUGUGUAGCAGUGAAAUGCGUAGAGAUGUGGAGGAAUACCAAUGGCGAAGGCAGCCCCCUGGGAUAAUAUUGACGCUCAUGCACGAAAGCGUGGGGAGCAAACAGGAUUAGAUACCCUAGUAGUC
This 464-nucleotide ribosomal RNA is filed under the name uncultured bacterium. Its description in RNAcentral is "partial 16S ribosomal RNA". It matches the Rfam family "Bacterial small subunit ribosomal RNA", at positions 339 to 795 of the family's 1533-position model. The record is from RNAcentral.